AUACGUAGGGUGCAAGCGUUAAUCGGAAUUACUGGGCGUAAAGCGUGCGCAGGCGGUUUUGUAAGACAGAGGUGAAAUCCCCGGGCUCAACCUGGGAACUGCCUUUGUGACUGCAAGGCUAGAGUACGGCAGAGGGGGAUGGAAUUCCGCGUGUAGCAGUGAAAUGCGUAGAUAUGCGGAGGAACACCGAUGGCGAAGGCAAUCCCCUGGGCCUGUACUGACGCUCAUGCACGAAAGCGUGGGGAGCAAACAGGAUUAGAUACCCUGGUAGUCCACGCCCUAAACGAUGUCAACUGGUUGUUGGGUCUUCAUUGACUCAGUAACGAAGCUAACGCGUGAAGUUGACUGCCUGGGGAGUACGGCCGCAAGGUUGAAACUCAAAUGAAUUGACGGGG
RNAcentral lists this ribosomal RNA (395 nucleotides) under uncultured bacterium. RNAcentral's name for it is "partial 16S ribosomal RNA". It matches the Rfam family "Bacterial small subunit ribosomal RNA", at positions 523 to 918 of the family's 1533-position model. The record is from RNAcentral.